GAUGAACGCUAGCUACAGGCCUAACACAUGCAAGUCGAGGGACCUGCGCACUGGUGAUUACCACCUAUCCAACCUUCCCUUUCCUCGUGGCUAUCCUUUCGCACGAACGAUUAAUACCCUAUAUCAUGGCUGGGGCUGCGUUCCAUUAGGUUGUUGGUGAGGUAACGGCCCACCAAGCCUUCGAUGGAUAGGGGUUCUGAGAGGAAGGUCCCACACAUUGGAUAUGAGACACGGUCCAAACUCGUACGGGAGGCAGCAGUGAGGAAUAUUGGUCAAUGGGCGGUAGACUGAACAAGCCAAGUAGCGUGAAGGAUGAAGGGUUAUGGGUCGUAAACUUCUUUUAUAUAAGAAUAUGUAUUAUAUGAAUAAGGAUCGGCUAACUCCGUGCCAGCAGCCGCGGUAAUUC
RNAcentral lists this ribosomal RNA (406 nucleotides) under uncultured bacterium. RNAcentral describes it as "partial 16S ribosomal RNA". It matches the Rfam family "Bacterial small subunit ribosomal RNA", at positions 28 to 526 of the family's 1533-position model. The record is from RNAcentral.